This 241-nucleotide unclassified non-coding RNA is filed under the name uncultured fungus. Its description in RNAcentral is "sequence contains ITS2". The stretch from base 1 to 52 matches the Rfam family "5.8S ribosomal RNA", at positions 103 to 154 of the family's 154-position model. The record is from RNAcentral. Lineage: Eukaryota; Fungi.
AACGCACAUUGCGCCCCGUGGUAUUCCGCGGGGCAUGCCUGUUCGAGCGUCAUUUCAACCCAUCAAGCUUCUGCUUGGUCUUGGGGCCUGCGGUUCCGCAGCCUCUAAACUCAGUGGCGGUGCUAUUGAGCUCUGAGCGUAGUAAUUCUUCUCGCUAUAGGGUCUCCGUGGUUACUUGCCAGCAACCCCCAAUUUUUAUCAGGUUGACCUCGGAUCAGGUAGGGAUACCCGCUGAACUUAA